UGCGCCCGUAGCUCAGUGGAAGAGCAUUCGCCUCCGAAGCGGAAGGUCAGUGGUUCGAAACCACUCGGGCGUGU
This 74-nucleotide transfer RNA is filed under the name Virus Rctr197k. RNAcentral describes it as "tRNA-Arg". It matches the Rfam family "tRNA". From Rfam's summary of the family: Transfer RNA (tRNA) molecules are approximately 80 nucleotides in length. Their secondary structure includes four short double-helical elements and three loops (D, anti-codon, and T loops). The record is from RNAcentral. Lineage: Duplodnaviria; Heunggongvirae; Uroviricota; Caudoviricetes.